Molecule: long non-coding RNA, 9159 nt
Organism: Callithrix jacchus (white-tufted-ear marmoset)
Lineage: Eukaryota; Metazoa; Chordata; Mammalia; Primates; Cebidae
Source: RefSeq, a predicted model, not a curated record
UAGGAGGGCCGGGAUUGGAAACCCAAUGGGCGCGGAGUAGGGUUCCCCCCUAGGGAGGCGGUGCCUGGGGACCUUAAGAGACCUGGGAAGGUGCGGAAAGGAGGGGCCCUGCGCUGGCCCAGCUGUUGAAGAGCUUCGCCCAGCCGGCCCCGAGUGCCCACGAUAGCCGAACCCAGGGCGGGGAUCCCGGUUAUCGUCAUCCCUCCAGCUUCCCCGAUGGGCGUUGAUUUCCUCCGUUACCAGAGAAAAACAACUGAGAGAUGGGAAAAAUGUAUUCCCUUGUGAUGGAAAAAAUGUAUUCAACCCCUGUACAUUGUGCCGAAUUGGCUUCUUUAAACACUGGAGAAAUCUACUUCCCCAAAUUUUACUCCCAGAACUCAAUGAAAUAAAUGUACUGGUGCAAGACAUACAGUUAUUAAUCCUGAUAUCACCAAAUUUGAAGCCAAGCUUACAAAGUAGACCAUAUAACAAAUGUUCAAGAAAAGCAUUUGAGUACUCAACUAGGAAUCUUUGUAGACAAAUUUUAUUUCAUCAGUAUUGCAAGAAAAGAAUGGAGAGAAUGAAUGUUAUGUUUUAUUGGUUGACAGGCAUACAAAACAGCACAAGGUAAUUAUUCUGUUCUGAUUCCACCCAUCCUUGGAGAGGCUGAGAAUGUUCUACAGAUUUCAGUUUCAUUCUUUUCACAGUGGCCUUGUGAGGCAAAUUCAGAGUUAGGCAAAAAGGAGGAAAAAAGAACAUAUCAAGAAAAAAAGAGAGUUACAAUUCAGUAUUGGCUGUUGGCUUUAAGAGAAGAGAGUAAACAUCACAGCUUCGUGACUCCUACUCACUGUGGAACAGGCUUGAGCAGGCAAAAGAAGAGGUGGAAUUUGCUUUAAAAAGUUGCAGUGGUGUUAUAUCCAGUAGCAGCACAAACCCCGUGCUCUGCCUAUUUUGCUGCACCAUAUCUUUCCCGCUUUAAUAUGAAUACUUACUUGGGAGGAGGCAGCCUAGAUGUCCCUGGUGUCUGGUGAUGCCCACAACAUGAGCUAUCCUGAGGGGAAGAAAUGGAUGUUCCUUUUACCCCCUCGGCCUUGCGUGCCGUGCUACUGAUCUGGAGUUUGCAAAAAAUGAAACAUAGGCCAGGCCUGGUGGCAUGGUGGUGCGUGCCUGUAGUCCCAACUACUCAGGAGGCUGAGGCAGGAGAAUCUCUUGAACCUGAGAAGCAGAGGUUGCAGUGAGCCAGGGGUCACACCACUGCACUCCAGCCCUGGGGACAGAGCGAGACUCCAUCUCAAAACAACAACAAUUUAAAAAAAAAUAGAAAAGAGAAUUGGGAAUUUGUUUUUUCCUUAACUUUCUUUUUAUACUUACUAAUGGAGGCUUGGAAAAUGCAGGAUAAAAUAUCAAACAAUCAUUCAAAGAUGAUUAUAAAUAGAUAACAUUUUUACCAAUAUUUUCUCUCUUAUAUGUAUAUAAAGGAGUGUGUGUGUGUGUGUGUGUGUGUGAGAGAGAGAGAGAGAGAGUGUUUUACAAAGGCUUCUGCAGAAUAUAUAAUCUUAUAUCCUGCUUUUUCCACCUAACAUUAUCAGAAAAAAUUCUUUGCAGGUCAUUAAGUCUUCUUCCAAAAGGUGAUAUUUUUCUCCUAUGGCUGCACAAUUUGCAAUCAAAGGAUAUUCCUUUAUUUACAUACCCUUUUACUAAGAACAUUUAAAUGGUUUUCUUCUAUAACAGUACAAUGACAUCCUUCCUCUACAUUUGUAUUUAUUUCCUCAGGGCCUAUUUUGAGAGGUUAUUUUUGGUUCGAAUCAUUUGAAUGUUUUAAGGGUCUUGUGACAUAUUGUCAGGUUUUUUUCUGCAAUGCUCAAGCUAGUUUAUACUCUCACUGGCACUAAGAGUGUGGAUUGGAAGUGCAGUUUUCAAGACAGGUGAAUACCUGAAUUCUAGGUGUUUAUCAACUGCGUAUUUCAUUACAUUCUUCUGACGGAGAAGGCCUCUUAUGUUAUGUUCAGCCAUAACCACCACACCAUGGGACUCAUCCAAUCAUCCAAUCUACAGAAUGUCUGCUGAGUCCUGGGCCCCCUGCCUGCUGGGCUCUGGGAGUACAGCAGGGGAGAAGGUGGACAUAGACAAAUAAUGAGGCAAUAACACAGGGAAAAAGUGCUGACGGGGGAAGACCAGCUGUUGUUAGGAACACCUAAGAAGGUCACCUAACUUGAACCUGCUAGGUCCUGGAGGCUUUGAGUGAAGCUGAAAAAAAUGAAUAGGUGUUAGGUGUGUUGUCAGGAGUGAGCAUUAUAUGAUCCACCCUGUUACCACAAAAAUCGAAACAAAUUGUUACCACUUUUCCUUAAAAGUCCGACUUCAUUAAUGAUGGUGUGGCAAUGGCUUGAGUAGGACUGGGUAGCAAGCAAAUAUUUUACAACUGGUGUUGAGCCUUUUUCAAGUCUGUGCAGGUCCACUGGCCUCUGUGGCCUCUCCACUAAGCUCCUGCGGCUCACUCACAUUCCCUCCUUGCCGCUGAGCUCCUGCAAGGCGUGCAUCAACCAGUCAGGUUUAACUACUGGGAUUGACAUGCUUGGAUUGAAGUUAUUUUCCAGUGCUGCUGUCUUAGAGGUGUUUUGCUUGCCUCCCUUGUGUAUGCUGUUAAAUGUUGCACCUGGAUUUGACCCUGGGUUUAAGUCUGUUUGCAAUAACCAGACAUGGGUUCUUGCACUCUGACAAUAUAAAAAAAAAGUCAAACCUCAUAGACAAUCAACACAUUCGUUAUGGACUGAGAGCACACAAUUAUGCAUCUGUGGAGAAAUGAAUAGUUAUAAAAUAUAUGUGUUUGGGUGGAACCGUGGAUCAUAGCCAGGAAUGGUCAACUAGGGAGAGUGGAACAAACGUCUCUCUUCUCCCUUUCUUUCCCAUAAACCCAGAUCAUUACCUAGCAGGGCUCAAGAAGCAAAUUAGCAUGGUAUAUGGUUAACAGUCCCAGAGCUAGCACCCAAGCACUACGGGUCAAAUCCCACCAUAGACAUUUACAAACUGUGUGACCUUGGGCAAGUCACUCAGUUGUUCUAGGCUACCAUUCUGCUUUUGUAAAAUGGAGAUAGUAACACCUUCUUUAUUAGGUAUGAUCUUUUUUUUCUUUUUUUUUUUUUUUGAGAUGGAAUUUCGCUCGUUACCCAGGCUGGAGUGCAAUGGCGUGAUCUUGGCUCACCGCAACCUCUGCCUCCUGGGUUCAAGCAAUUCUCCCGCCUCAGCCUCCUGAGUAGCUGGGAUUACAGGCACAUGCCACCAUAUUAGGUAUCAUCUAAUCUGCUAUAACAAAAACAGCCCCCCCAAAAAACAACAAAAUAGCUUAAACAAGAUCAAAGUUUAUUUCUCUCACAAUAAAGCAUCUCAGACCUAAAUGGUACAGGGCUGGAUAGGCAGCUCUGCCAUCCUCAAUACUGUGCUUCCAUCUCUGAGUCCAAGGUAGCUGCAGUAGCUCACUUGAUCAUAACUGCAUGCCAGCCAGUGGGAAGGGGACAAAGGAGCAAAGGGAGCCCAUGUCCUUUCCUUUUUAGGGCACAACAUGGAAAUAACAUACUUUAUUCCUACUCACAUUUCAUUGAUCAGAAUUUAGUCACAUGGCCAUGCCUAGCUACACAGGAAACUGGGAGAUGUAGUCAUUGGCUGGGUGACCAUGUGCUUGGCAAAACUCAGGCAUUCUAUUAUAAAAGAAAGGAAAAUGAAUAUCAGUGUUUGAUCAGCAGCACGGGCCACACCAACCUCCAAGGGUUGUUGGAGGAUUAAGGAAGAUUACAUGAACCAUAUGAGUUAGUUAUCUGUAUUUUCUGAUUAUUAGUAUUUCCAUUUAUUCUGCUGUGCCAUGUGGCUCUUGUAUGAGUUGCAACGCUGUUCAGAAAAUUCAGUGAACUUUGUUGUAGGAUAUUGUAUUAUACCCAUCCUUAUGGGAUGUGCUGUAGUUAAGAGGCUGCCUCUGGACACUGAAGUUUGGCUCCGAGGUCUCAUUAUGAUGAACAAGGACCAAUCGCUACCCUAAACCAAACCUUUCUAUCCCACAAACCAACCUCUCAAAACAAACUUUGUUUAAUCAACAAACAAUAUCGCUACUACUAUGUCUAGGCUCUGCACUAAGGGAUUUUCCAAUAUUAAACCAUCUAGUCCUUAUAACAAGCUUACAAGGGGAAAUGAACUCUUACCACCUUCACUUUAUAUCUGAGACACUAAGGUACAGAAAGGUGAAGUAACUUCCCGAAGUCACCCAGAUAGUUCACAAUGGGGCCAGGAUUCAAACCAGGCAGUGCGGCUCUGGAGAGCACAGCUCCACUCCUACACUGUUCUGCCUGUGACAAAGUGGGCAGGAAUACAGGAAGAUCUGGAGUGAGUGUUCUACAUUCUUAGAAUUCAAUUUCAGCAUUGCCCCACCUUCUGCCUACCUGAAGACCCAGUGUUACAGGACAUAUCCUGCAUAAACCAAUUGUGACAUCCGGUUUUGUACCCACAAAUUGAGAAGAACCACAGGAAAAUGACAUUCUUCCCAGUCUUUAAGAGAUAAUUCUUCCCAGGAUUUAAAAGAUAAAAAGUGGGAAGUUGGCCAGGCGUGGUGGCUCAUGCCUGUAAUCCUAGCACUUUGGGAGGCUGAGGUGGGCAGUUCACAAGGUCAAGAGAUCAAGAUUAUCCUGGCAAAAAUAGUGAAACCCCAUCUCUACUGGAAGUGCAAAUAAUUAGCUGGGCAUGGUGCUGCAUGCUUGUAAUCCCAGCUACUCGGGAGACUGAGGGAGAAUCGCUUGAACCAAGGAGGCAGAGGUUGCAGUGAGCCGGGAUCACACCAUUGCACUCCAGCCUGGGCAACAAGAGCGAAACCAUCUCAAAAGAAAAUAAAAAAGGGAAGUGGCUAUGAAUUUGUAACACAAGAGCAUGACAAGCCUAGAGAGCCACAUAGGAUUGAGGAACAGCCAAAGGCAGAAAUGAGAGUGCCGGGGAGGAGGCAGCUUGCAGAGCAGCAAGGAUAAGGAGGAGGAGGAAGCUCUCUAACUGCCUCUCCUUACAGACAGCAAAAGGCAGGCAGAGACUUAGCUAAACAAGUCCACUGAAAGAUUCAUUUUCCACCAAGCAAGAGGAUCUCUUGACCAGUAUCAUCCUAUAUGCAGUUUCUGUUCCAGGAUAUGUGGACAUAAACAGAUUCAGUUCUGAGACUUGGUGACGUGAAGCCAAAGUCUCCUUCUUAUGCCAAAUGUCAAAAGCAAUUGCUCCACGCAGUCUGAAAAUUAAAAUCUAUUUACUUCUUUUUUUUUUUUUAACUGAGAGAAUAAAGAGAAACGUGGCCAGGCAGGUAGAUCACUUGAGUCCAGGAGUUUGAGGCCAUCCUGGGCAGCGUGGUAAAACCAUCUACAAAAAGGAAGAGAAAAGGAUAUUUCACAAAUUUGUAUCAUUUGUCAUGUCUGAAUCUUGAAUCUUUAUAUUAAAUCUUUUUCCUUUGGGGGAAAAAAAAAAAAAAAACUUGGCCAGGUGCAGUGGCUCAUGCCUGGAAUCCCAACACUUUGGAAGGCUGAGGCUAGCAGAUCACAAGGUGAAGAAAUUGAGACCAUCCUGGCCAACAUAGUGAAACCUCGUCUCUACUAAAAAUACAAAAAAUAAUUAGCUGGGUGUGGUGGUGCAUGCCUGUAGUGCCAGCUACUCAGGAGGCUGAGGCAGGAGAAUCACUUGAACCCUGGAGGCAGAGGUCGCAGUGAGCCAAGAUUGCACCACUGCACUCCAGCCUGGUGACAGAGUGAGACUUUGUCUCAAAAAAAAAAAAGAGAGAGGGAGAGAAAUGUUAUUUUAUUUCUUUGUUUGUACUCUAUGUAAAUUCUGUCUAGUGUCUACCUGUGUCUUCAGUAGGAACUGAACUUGCAUUGAUUCCUGAAAGACCAAACAAAGGACCUUCUCAGUCCACGUUGACAUGACCCCAUUUGUCACACUUAAUGCAGUUCACAGUUCUAACCUGAAUACCUGAUUUUUUAUGUUUAUGUCAUCUUUGGCAUAUUUUUCUUGUGGGGCUUCUGUUUGCCAUUUAAAUUUGUCUUCAUUCUCUCCUGUUUUCUUUUUCUUCUGUUUCCUUUUUUAACUCCUAGUGGGGCCCCAUACAUGAAAUUAAGACUGUUCUUCACACAUUCAUCUCCCAUAAGCAAUCUAUUUUCAUAUGAUUCUUAUUCUUUAAGACACUGCUACAUUCAUUCUUCUUGUUUCUUCUUAUCAUAAGAUAUUUUCUGUUCUACCAUUCAUACUUUGUUUUUUCAGAUAAGAAUCUCUGUCACCCAAGCUGGAGUGCAGUGGCGCCAUCUUGGCUCACUGCAACCUCCACCUCUCAGGUUCAAGUGAUUCUCCUGUCUAGCCUCUGCAGUAGCUGGACCACAGGAGCAUGACACCAUGCCUGGCUUAUUUUUUGCAUUUUUAUAAGAGAUGAUGGUUCAUCAUGUUGGCCAAGCUGGUCUCGAACUCCUGGCCUCAAGUGAUCCGCCCGCCUCAGCCUCCCAAAGUGCUGGGAUUACAGGCAUGAGCCUUUUAACAUUGGAUUUGGAGGCAAGAUGAACGUCCUUCUUGCGCAUGAUGUUGGCAGAGGAUUUUCCCAUCCUUGAGCCAGACCUGGGGAAAGCGGUGAUAGCUAUGUAAGCAACAUAAACAAACGAUUUACUUCUUAAAGUACAAAAUCGUAAGACUACAAUGUACAACACAGGCAUUAUAUGUUUAUUGUAUAGCUUCCUUUCUGCUAGCAGUUCAAAAUUUGCCCAGAUGAUUCCUGCUAGCCCUCCAUAUUUUUGUCCCUUAUCCUAUCUUUGUCAUAAGGGACAAACAAAGUAGCAAGCACUAGCUUAGCUAAGUAGCAGGCACUAGCUUAAUUCUCUGAAGCUUUGUACUGGGGCUCCAUUUUUUCCAAUCCCAUCCCACCCAGUAUUCUAAAUAUCAAUGAAUAACAAACACUGUUGCCUUUCUCUUGUCUGGCUGGCCCCUGAUAUGUGAAACAACUUACUGAUUGGGUAAAUGACAGAUGACACAAUAUUAGAAUUUGUAUUGUGUUUCUCUUAAAGCCCUUUUAAACUCUGCAUCCUCAAAAGAAGCCAGGAGUCACAUGGCUCAGCUUGGGGGCCUGUGGUUUACCACGCUGUCCUCUCAGGAAGACCUUCCUUGACCACCUCUUUUAACCUUAUAGCGUUUUCUGGCACUUCCUGUCAUGUCUUCCCUGCUUUAUGUUUUCUCCAUGACCCUUUUCCCUUUUAACAUACUGUAUAACUGAUUUCAUUUGUUUAUUGUAUAUUUUUCCUACUAGAAUAGAAGCUCAUGAGGAUUGGUGGGUUUUGUUUCUCUUUUUGUAUUUUCUGCUUAUUCUCAGCACCCGCAACAAUUUUCUGGCACCCAGGAGGUGUUCAAUCGACAUUUGACUAAAUGAUUGAACAAGCAAGUGAAUGAAUAGAUGAGUUAAUACCAGGACAAACCAUAUUACAAUAAGCAGAGUAAAUGACGAUUUGCCUUGAGGGGUCUGAGAGAGAAUUUGAUCAGAUCCCUGGCUCAAAUGCACAUACCAUUCCAUUUCAUUUUUAAAUAUGUUUUCCUUUAGGACUUGAGUACCUUCCCAUAUUCUCAAAACGAGUUUUAAAAAAUAGAUAUAUUGCAGGGCACAGUGGCUUAUGUCUAUAUUCCCACCACUUUGAGAGGCCAAGGUGGGGCAGAUCACCUGAGGUCAGGAGUUCAAGACCAGCCUGAUCAACAUGGAGAAACCCCGUCUCUACUAAAAAUACAAAAUUAGCUGGGCAUGGUGGCGUGUGCCUGUAAUCCCUGCUACUCGGGUGGCUGAGGCAGGAGAAUCACUUGAACCUGGGAGGUGGAAGUUGCAGUGAGCUGAGACCAUUGCACUCCAGCCUGGGCAACAAGAGUGAAACGCUAUCUCAAAAAAAAAAAAAGAUAUAUCACCCCCAUCAUGCACACCAGGAAAGACUCGACAUCACUUCUGUGGCAUUCCUAUCAAAAACACAUACCUUGAAUCUAACCACAAGGAAACAUGAGGCAAACUCCAACUAAAAAACAAUCUACAAUAACUGGCCUUUUCAAAAUAUCAAGAUCAUGAGAGUUAAGGACUAAAGAACUGUUCCAGUUUAAAGAAGGCUAAAGAGACACGCCAACUAAGUAUGAAGAGUGUUCCUGGAUUGGGUCUUAGAACAGACAGAAAAGGCUUAAAAAACAUUAUGGAGACAAUUUAUGAAAUUUAAUAUGGGUCAUAAACAAUAUAAAUAAGAAUAUUGUAUCAAUGUUAAAUUUCCUUGUUUUGAUCAUUAGACUGCAAUUAUGUAAUCUCUUACAUCAGAGAUUUCUUUUCUGCCUUAGAAAAUACAUGUUGAGUAUUUACUGGUAAAGAGGCAUGAUGUCUGCAACUUACUCUGAAAUGGGCCAGAAAAAAUAUAUAUUAUAUAUAUUCAUAUACACAUGUAAAUAAAGAGCAAGUGCAUGACAAACUAAAUAGGGCAAAAUCUGGGUAAAGGGUAAACUGGACUUAUUUAUACUAUUUUUGUAACUUUCUACAACUUAAUGUUAUAUCAAAGUAAAAAUUUAUAAAUAAAUAUACAUAUAUUCCUAGGAGGGGUCAUACAUAAGCAUCUCAGGUAACACCUUCAUUACAUUAUUCAGUAGCUGAGAGCCAGAAUCGGGUCCUCUCACUUCUCUUCACCCCAACCUGAGGACCCCUACAUUCAUUCUUCACCCCAACCCGAGGACCCCCUUCAUUCCUGAAGAUGAGGAAGAGGUGGAAGCCAUCAAAUUCAAACUUCACCUAUACCACAGUUUUGCCUUGGACCCAGUGACUUUUUGCAGGAACAAAUUGAGACACAGAGAAGAUAAACAGAUUAAAGAUAGAAAUACAGCUUGGGGCCAGGCACGGUGGCUCACACCUGUAAUCCUAACACAUCAGGAGGCCAAGGCAGGUGGAUUGCCUGAGCUCAGGAGUUCAAGACCAGCCUGGGCAACAUGGCAAAACCCCAUCUCUACUAAAAAUAAAAAAUAUUAGCCAGGUAUGGUGGUAAGUGCCUGUAAUCCCAGCUACUCAGGAGGCUGAGGCAAGAGAAUCUCUUGAACCCAGGAGGCAGAGGUUGCAGUGAGCCAAGAUCGUGCCACUGCACUCCAGCUUGGGUGACAGAGCAAGACUCUGUCUCAAAAACAAAG